This 113-nucleotide ribosomal RNA is filed under the name uncultured eukaryote. RNAcentral describes it as "partial small subunit ribosomal RNA". It matches the Rfam family "Eukaryotic small subunit ribosomal RNA", at positions 1676 to 1785 of the family's 1831-position model. The record is from RNAcentral.
UCGCUGCUACCGAUUGGAUGUUCUAGUGAGUUCUAUGGAUUAUUACCCUUGCGGGGUUCGCCUCUGCAUAGGUGGUGAAAAGUAGGUCAAACUUAAACAUCUAGAGGAAGCAA